GUGUCGGAGAUGGGUCUAGGCAGCACAGCAAGGAACGCCUCGGGGAGCAGGUGGCAAAGGGGAUGCAAAAGCAGUGGCAGGAGCUGGAGGCUCAGAAGAAAUACACUGUGCAGGCUGUCAGCAUGGAGACACUGAGCUCAACUUCACCACGACAGGCAGCCCCCAGCACAGCUGUAACAAAGAGGUGCUUAAAGCCAGACAGAAUCCAGACUGCCACAGGAGGAGAAGAAAGGAAGACGAGAAGAAAGAAAAUGAGAUGGGAUUUUCCUUAUCUUCCUCUCGCUGUGGGAACUGCUGAGCACAUGCUGGCUGCAGGGGAGACCCCAGAGUGCUUCCUUUCCUUCGUGCUGUGCCCACCCUGUGGAAUACAGAGCCAAUUUAGAUGGCAAUAUGUGCUGUUUGAUAUGAAGUGCAACACCUGGCACCCAGGACUGCCUUCAGUUCCUGAGGAUGGAGGUUAAGGAGAACAGAGGGCUGCAAAUUACCAACAGCAAAGGGAAGAACUGCAAGCAAUGAAUAACGAGAAGCAAAUAUUUGGUCAGGCACACAAACACAG
RNAcentral lists this long non-coding RNA (556 nucleotides) under Gallus gallus (chicken). Its description in RNAcentral is "lncRNA (ENSGALG00010000551.1)". Lineage: Eukaryota; Metazoa; Chordata; Aves; Galliformes; Phasianidae. The record is from RNAcentral.